This is a long non-coding RNA of Portunus trituberculatus (swimming crab), 477 nucleotides long. RefSeq lists it as uncharacterized. Lineage: Eukaryota; Metazoa; Arthropoda; Malacostraca; Decapoda; Portunidae. The record is from RefSeq and is a predicted model, not a curated record. The transcript has 4 exons.
CAGGGAGUCCACCAUGUCUGGAAUUGGAACUUGGGGAGCAGGAUCAGUUCACAGCCGCCAUUGAAUGUGUUCGUACGUCUGUCGCCUGUGUGAUACGGGAAAAAGUGAACACUGGGUGCCGUGCAUUGGUUGCCGUCCAUUGCCUGGCCUUGACCGAUGCCGCUCAACUCUAGGACACUUUGACCAGCUUCAUUUUACUCCACUGCCACUGAUUUGUAAAUAGAUUUGAAGUCCUCUUGCUGAAUCCAAAAUAGAGCUGGAUGCACGAGAACACCACAUCGUCAGCUUGUGAUGAGAUGCAGUAUACUGUGAUUAAGAAUUGCCCUACGCCAACAAUGAACCCUCAAGCUUCUGCAAACAGGAAGUAGAAGAAACGACAUUAUUGAAGGACCGACCACGUCAGACGUUCUACCCGAAGUUCUGUCUCUCAAUACUUCCGAGAAAUACAUAGGAAUAUGAAACAAGGCUUCUCUCUCA